This is a long non-coding RNA of Ipomoea nil (Japanese morning glory), 1327 nucleotides long. RefSeq lists it as uncharacterized. Lineage: Eukaryota; Viridiplantae; Streptophyta; Magnoliopsida; Solanales; Convolvulaceae. The transcript has 7 exons. The record is from RefSeq and is a predicted model, not a curated record.
CCUAGGGCCUUUGUAGAAACCUUAUGUGGUUCACCACUAUACGGUGGAUGCCAAACUUGCCUCCAUCUUUGCUUGGACACGAGGACUUGCUCACAGGGCUAAGUUGGACAACAACGAUAGACUCUUGGAUUUCACCGAGAAGCUUGAAGCAGCUUGCAUUGGUGCUGUGGAGUCUGGAAAGAUGACCAAGGAUCUUGCACUUAUCAUCCAUGGGUCAAAGCUUUCAAGGGACAUAUAUCUAAACACUGAAGAAUUCAUUGACGCUGUGGCAGAUGAACUGAAAGCUAAACUGUUGAAAGCCAAGGCAUAAUUGAUAAAUUGCAAGGUGUUUAUGUGAAGAAUUUCUUUCAUAUAAAGGAGUUUUGAAAUUGAUCUUGUAUAUGGACAUUAUAGUGGAUGAACUGAAGAUAUGAAUCACCAGCAGGAAGAUGAUGUGAUAUCGUCUGGCUCUUCAUCACCAGAUUCAAUAUCAUCACCCUUUGGUGGAAUGAGUUAUCCCUCAUUGUUCAGUUCCAAGCCAACUACCUAUGGCCCAAAAUUGUUAAAGAUGUCCUGAUGUUAAAGAUGAAAAUGGCCCAAAAUCAAAGCUGAUUGUGAUUUUGUAUUUUUUGAGGAUAAAUUAAAGAAGGGAACAUGUAUUCUUAAAGAUGGCCUGAGUGGUAAUUUUCAGACAAUAAUGAUCGUCACCAUAUCUCUAGCAAAUAGUUAGUAUCACCAUACGGGUAACACUUUGAAGUAUGCUCACCGAACAAAGGAAAUUAAGAUACAUUCAGGUUCAGAUCCUUCAGAAUGAAAAGGAAAAAGUUUUGGAGGAAUCGGUGAGAAGCCUUGAUGAGAAGUUAGCAUCUGCUCUCGAUGAGUGCAACGCUAAAGAUGAAUUAGUCACAAAGCUCACAAACAUGGCGGAAGAAGCCAUUGCAGCUCACAAGAAAGCGGAGGCUGAAAUUAUGUGUUUGAAGGAAGAGUUAGAAGAAUGGAAGGCUACCUUAACAGUGCAUUAAAGGAUUGUAUGCAGAAAUGAAGGAAGAGUUGGCUGUUUAUGGACCUAUAUCAAAUGAUAUCUCCUCCAUAUCAAGCCAUGAAAUGAAGAAGGAGCAUCAAAGUGUUUCUACUGAAGCUUGGGCUUGUGCUUAGAUAUCUGAACUAGAGCAUUUCAAGAAUCAUAAGGACCAGAAGAGUAACUCUGAACAGAAAACGAUUGGAGUUUCAGAGAUGAGGCUAAUGGAUGAUUUUGUCAAAAUGGAAAAACUAGCAAUAGUAGCAAAUAUCUUCAAACAGAUGAUGAAUGAAUUCUCUUCAAGCAUAUGAAAUGUGUAUUUUAUGUUUU